This is a long non-coding RNA of Helianthus annuus (common sunflower), 1210 nucleotides long. RefSeq lists it as uncharacterized. NCBI's taxonomy places the organism in Eukaryota, Viridiplantae, Streptophyta, Magnoliopsida, Asterales, Asteraceae. The transcript is spliced from 4 exons. The record is from RefSeq and is a predicted model, not a curated record.
AUUUGUUACUCUUUUGUUUCGGACAUGCUUUUUGGAAUGCAGGCACUUGAGAUUUUGACACACUGCUAUAUUCUUGUUCAGAAACUCGGUAUCUGCUAUGGGUUCAUUUAAAGGCUUGAAACAAGUAAGAAGGAUAGUAGAAGAAUGUAUGUUGAAUAAAAUGCAUCCGCUACAUAAUAUUAAAGUGCUCAUGAUGAGGAGUGAUCUUGCUAGUAAUCCAGAACUUGCAAAUGAGAACUGAGAUAGGUUUUUACCCAAGUUUAAAAAGUAAGAUAUAAAAAAUUCGCUUAAGAGAAAUUUUGCCAAAUGAGUUAGUUCAAAAAGCUCACAGCUCGCAUGAGAAAAAGCUAGGUUAUUUCGUAUGUCAGACCCACACAUCUUCAGGUUCCUACUGAGUAUAUAUUAUACCAAAUAUGAUUUCUGCAGUGUGCUUUAAUGAGUGGUGGAGUCAAUGCUAGUCAGCUUGGGUUCCAUGGAGCUGCAAACUCAGGUAUAUAUUCUUUAGAGGCUCGGAAGUUUUGUUUAUUUAUUUUAGAGUAAAAUGCCAUUUUCGUCCCUAAGGUUUGGUCAGUUUUGCGACUUUCGUCCAAAGGUUUGUGAUAAGGGCCCAAUUAAAGUUUAUACGAGAAGAAGGAAACGGGCCACAGCUGCCCAUAUGGAAAAACUGAAUUAUGUUUUUGGGCUUAAGCUGGAUCCACUUGGUCAGGGAGUUGGCAGUAAAUUGGAAGAGUGGGGAGCAGUUACUAUGCCCAUUAUUAGCGAGAAAAUGAAGGGUUGAAGAGCUGUUCCUAUGCCUACUUUAUGGAGCAGUUUCUAAGUGUCAUGUCUAUUAAAGCAGGCUUUUUAUUUUCAAGUGGUUCAUCCUUGUUUUUCAUUAUCAAAGUAUUGUGUAUUUGGAGACAUUGCCCCUCUCGAAUCGGGCUGUUUACUUCAGUUCAAAUAAAGUUUCCUGUUUGAAUUAUAGAUCUUAUCAUUUGGUUCCAUUGCCGGGAAACGAAAGAUGGUUCAAACCCGGAGCACUUCUGAUGGCAGCAGCUCAAACCCAGACCAAAUUGCUGCUCAACUGGCUGCCAUUGCUGCAAAAUUAGAGUCCAUUGAUUUAAUGAAGGAAGACAUUGCAGCCUUGAAAGGAGACCGGUCUAAAGGCAGUAUCUUUGAUGAAGGGGAGAGCUCGUGGAAGGGACGAGUCAGAUACAAACCCUACAACAAA